AUUGAACGCUGGCGGCAUGCCUUACACAUGCAAGUCGAACGGCAGCACGGGAGCAAUCCUGGUGGCGAGUGGCGAACGGGUGAGUAAUAUAUCGGAACGUGCCCAGUCGUGGGGGAUAACGUAGCGAAAGCUACGCUAAUACCGCAUACGAUCUAUGGAUGAAAGCGGGGGAUCGCAAGACCUCGCGCGAUUGGAGCGGCCGAUAUCAGAUUAGGUAGUUGGUGAGGUAAAGGCUCACCAAGCCGACGAUCUGUAGCUGGUCUGAGAGGACGACCAGCCACACUGGGACUGAGACACGGCCCAGACUCCUACGGGAGGCAGCAGUGGGAAUUUUGGACAAUGGGCGCAAGCCUGAUCCGGCAAUGCCGCGUGCAGGAUGAAGGCCUUCGGGUUGUAAACUGCUUUUGUACGGAACGAAACGGUGAGCUCUAAUACAGUUUGCUAAUGACGGUACCGUAAGAAUAAGCACCGGCUAACUACGUG
Molecule: ribosomal RNA, 483 nt
Filed under: uncultured bacterium
Lineage: Bacteria
Description: bacterial SSU rRNA
Rfam family: Bacterial small subunit ribosomal RNA
Source: RNAcentral